CCAAGCAAGGAAGGAGAAAGCAGGCAGCAGACCCUCUGCCCUGACCAGACCAUCCAGAACAGCUAUUGCUAGAAUACGAGAUAUUCCACUGCUUGUCAACAGCAAACAGUAUUCCUGACCUUAUGGUUGCUAUCAUCUUUGAAAAGACAACAGUCUGCAAAAGUCCCAGUAUUCAGAGAGAAAAUACACCCCUUUGACAACCCAUCCAACCACACUGCUCUACGCAACACUAAAUUCUACAUCCUAUACUAACUUUCAAGCAGCAAGUUCAGAAUACAGCAUGCAACUAGAGAAGAUAUAUGCUCCUAAAAGGAAAGAGAAAAUUUCUCUCAUUAUGCAAGUUGCAAUGUCCCCCAAGAUAAAGUUAGCAAGUUCUCUCCCCACCACCUCAAGCAUCACCUCUCCUAAUACCAGCAAAGUGGUUCAGAAGAGAAGGUCGACUCUCAGACCCCCUUCUUACAUAGGUUAUAUACUUGAAACACUAUAGACAGAUUGCAGCACAGAGCACAAUUGAAGACUUUGCUCUGGCAAUAAAUGCAGUAAAGAAGCAAUUCUUUGCUGCACGUGUUGGAUCCACAGGUUUGCAUUCCAGUGGAAUUGUCAAGGGUAAUGAGGGACUUCUACAGGCCCCUUCCGCUCCAGCUUUGGAGCCAACAAUUAGCCACUGUGAAGCUUUUAAUGAGUUUUUUGUGGACAAAAUAUCUCGUAUUCAAGCUGGCCUGGAUUCCAUUGUUGGUGCCGAGUCUUUAGUGGAGGUAUCCAGUAACUCCCUGUGUGUGGUUACAUAGAAUUACUUUCAGUUUGUGAUUCCUGAGAAAGUGAACAAGCUGCUUGGAACUGUGCAUCCUACCACCUGUUCUCUUGACCCUUUUCCAACAUGGCUUUUAUCAUCAUCAAAGGGAGAUUGUUGGAGGGGGCCUGAUCGAGACAAUAAAUGCUUCUCUGAGAGAAGGUAGGAUGCCUCCUUGUUUAAAGGAAGCAACUAUUAGAUCUCUUUUAAAGAAGCCCACACUUGAUAUCUCUGAGUUAGGCAAUUAUAGGCCUGUUUUUUCAAUUUCCCGUGGUUGGCCAAGGUGACUGAGAAGGUUGUAGCCUCUCAACCCCAGGCAGUGUUGGAUGAAAUCCAUUUCAAACUUGAUUUUGGGCAGGUUAUGGAAUAGUGACUACCUUGGCUGGCCUGAUGGAUGAUCUCCAAAGGGGAAUUGAUAGAGAGAGUGUGAGUGCUGGUCCUUUUGGAUCUCUCAGCGGCUUUUAAUACCAUCAGCCAUGGUAUCCUCCUGGAUCACCUGCGGGGUCUAGGUGUAGGGGGCACUGCUUUGCAGUGGUUCUGCUCAUACCUCUCAGGUAGAUUUCAAAAGGUGUCACUUGGAGACUGUUGCUCUACAAUGUGAGAGCUUUUGUAUGGUGUCCCUCAGGGCUCCAUCUUGUCUCCAAUGCUUUUUAACAUCUACAUGAAACCGCUGGGAGAGAUCAUCAGGGGAUUUGGUGCAGGGUGUUAUCAGUACGCUGAUGACACCCAAAUCUAUUUCUUAAUGUCAGCUUAAUCAGGUGAUAGCAUAACUUCCCUAAAUGCCUGCCUCAAGGCAAUAAUGGACUGGAUGAGGGAUAACAAACAGACUGGAUCCAAACAAGACAGAGCUGCUCAUUGUAGGAAGCUGCAGUUCAGGAAAUGGGAUAGAUCUGCCAGUUCUAGAUGGGGUUACACUCCCCCAGAAGGAACAGGUUUUAAGUUUGGGGAUAAUUCUGGACCCAACCCUCUCUCCGAUACCUCAGGUGCAGGUGGUGGCCAGGAGUGCUUUUUAUCAGCUUUGACUGAUUUGCCAACUGCCCCCUUUCCUGGAAGUCAGUGACCUUAAGACAGUGGUACACAUGCUGGUAACCUCCAGGCUUGACUACUGCAAUGCACUCUAUGUGGGGCUGCCUUUGAACAUAUUCAGGAAACUGCAAUUGGUGCAGAAUGCUGAUGGCAGAUUGGUCUCCAGGAUGUCCCAAAGAGACCAUAUUACUCCUAUAUUAAAAGAACUACACUGGCUACCAAUAGGUUUCCAGACAAAAUACAAAGCACUGGUUAUUACCUAUAAAGCCCUUAAUGGCCUGGGCUCAGGAUAUUAAGAGAAUGCUUUCUUCGUUGUGAACCCUGCUGCCUAUUAAGAUCUACAAGGGAGGUUUGUCUGAGGAUGCCACCAGCUCAUAUGUUGGAGCCUUCUCUGUAGUUGCCCCAGAGCUGUGGAACACACUUCCUGCUGAGAUUAGAACUGCUCCAUCCUGUUGGCUUUUAGGAAACAACUAAAGACAUCUCUUCAGCCACAUGUGUAAAGACAUCUCUUUUUAGCUAUUUUGUAGUUUUUAUGGGUAUUUUUAUACAUUUAAUGGUUAAAAUUUCUUGGUUUGUUUUCUUGCCAUAAAUCACCUAUAGACUUCAGUAGCAGGCAGUAUACAAAUAUGUUAAAAUAAAUAUAUAGCAGAUGAUUAUUUCAACUCUUAACAGGUUCCUUUUCUAAACGUUUCUGGGCUAGAAAUGCAUUUAAAAUGCCUUUACUCAAGGUAUAGCCCUGUACAUGGUUGCUGAAAUGUCUUAAUUCUGCAGCAUCAAGUACCUAUGCACAAGGACAACCUUGGAUAUUUCCAGCUUCUGAUACUAAGCUUGCAUUUUGUUAGUAAAGUCAGUUUAAGCAAGGCACUAUGUAAGAGACCAGCUGAAUAAAGCAGCAUUAUUCAAGUAUAUAACUUUAUUAAGUUUCAGUCCAAACACUCAAGACUCCCACCUCUAACUAUUUUGCAGGAUAGUCAGAACUGUCAUUGAAUAAAAUAAGAACUUAAAAGCUUAAUAGGGAUUGCUCGCUCAAGUACCUAGUCAGCCAUUUACAGAGGGCAAGUGCCACUGAUUUGUCAAAUUCUACCUGCUUGCAUUAGGUAUGCAUUUAACCUCACAACAGUUCUGCAAUCAAGAAUGUAGUUGGCAGCCUCAGAAUUUCAUAACCAGGAAACAAUAUUAAUUCUGACUCUACAAACCAGCAGAAAUGCUACUCUGAAUAUUAUGCACACCACUAAAAAGGGGAGAAAUUACUACAUAUUAGAAGGAAAACACU
Hemicordylus capensis (graceful crag lizard) is the source of this 3089-nucleotide long non-coding RNA. RefSeq lists it as uncharacterized. The record is from RefSeq and is a predicted model, not a curated record. The transcript is spliced from 3 exons. Lineage: Eukaryota; Metazoa; Chordata; Lepidosauria; Squamata; Cordylidae.